AUUUAAAUACAUCUUAUGUUGAGGUUCAAC
This is a non-coding RNA of Clostridium autoethanogenum DSM 10061, 30 nucleotides long. Lineage: Bacteria; Bacillati; Bacillota; Clostridia; Eubacteriales; Clostridiaceae. The record is from Rfam.